UAUGGUGUGUGCCAGCAGCCGCGGUAAAACGUAGGUCACAAGCGUUGUCCGGAAUUACUGGGUGUAAAGGGAGCGCAGGCGGGAGAACAAGUUGGAAGUGAAAUCCAUGGGCUCAACCCAUGAACUGCUUUCAAAACUGUUUUUCUUGAGUAGUGCAGAGGUAGGCGGAAUUCCCGGUGUAGCGGUGGAAUGCGUAGAUAUCGGGAGGAACACCAGUGGCGAAGGCGGCCUACUGGGCACCAACUGACGCUGAGGCUCGAAAGUGUGGGUAGCAAACAGG
This 280-nucleotide ribosomal RNA is filed under the name Faecalibacterium prausnitzii. RNAcentral describes it as "partial 16S ribosomal RNA". It matches the Rfam family "Bacterial small subunit ribosomal RNA", at positions 497 to 776 of the family's 1533-position model. The record is from RNAcentral. Lineage: Bacteria; Bacillati; Bacillota; Clostridia; Eubacteriales; Oscillospiraceae.